GUGGGGAAUCUUGCGCAAUGGGCGAAAGCCUGACGCAGCCAUGCCGCGUGGAUGAUGAAGGUCUUAGGAUUGUAAAAUCCUUUCACCGGUGAAGAUAAUGACUGUAGCCGGAGAAGAAGCCCCGGCUCACUUCGUGCCAGCAGCCGCGGUAAUACGAAGGGGGCUAGCGUUGCUCGGAUUUACUGGGCGUAAAGGGCGCGUAGGCGGACAUUUAAGUCAGGGGUGAAAUCCCGGGGCUCAACCUCGGGACUGCCUUUGAUACUGGGUGUCUUGAGUAUGAGAGAGGUGUGUGGAACGCCGAGUGUAGAGGUAAAAUUCGUAGAUAGUCGGAAGAACACCAGUGGCGAAGGCGACACACUGGCUCAUUACUGACGCUGAGGCGCGAAAGCGUGGGGAGCAAACAGGAUUAGAAACCCGAGUAGUCC
This 425-nucleotide ribosomal RNA is filed under the name uncultured bacterium. RNAcentral's name for it is "partial 16S ribosomal RNA". It matches the Rfam family "Bacterial small subunit ribosomal RNA", at positions 354 to 796 of the family's 1533-position model. The record is from RNAcentral.